UGGGGAAUUUUGGACAAUGGGGGCAACCCUGAUCCAGCCAUUCCGCGUGAGUGAAGAAGGCCUUCGGGUUGUAAAGCUCUUUCAGCUGGAACGAAACGGUACGCUCUAACAUAGUGUGCUAAUGACGGUACCAGCAGAAGAAGCACCGGCUAACUACGUGCCAGCAGCCGCGGUAAUACGUAGGGUGCGAGCGUUAAUCGGAAUUACUGGGCGUAAAGCGUGCGCAGGCGGAUUGUUAAGCAAGAUGUGAAAUCCCCGGGCUUAACCUGGGAAUGGCAUUUUGAACUGGCAGUCUAGAGUGUGUCAGAGGGGGGUGGAAUUCCACGUGUAGCAGUGAAAUGCGUAGAGAUGUGGAGGAACACCGAUGGCGAAGGCAGCCCCCUGGGAUAACACUGACGCUCAUGUACGAAAGCGUGGGUAGCAAACAGGAUUAGAUACCCCCGUAGUCCCUGAGCGGGCUGGCAAGGCGCAU
This 472-nucleotide ribosomal RNA is filed under the name uncultured bacterium. RNAcentral describes it as "bacterial SSU rRNA". It matches the Rfam family "Bacterial small subunit ribosomal RNA", at positions 355 to 825 of the family's 1533-position model. The record is from RNAcentral.